This 253-nucleotide ribosomal RNA is filed under the name uncultured bacterium. Its description in RNAcentral is "partial 16S ribosomal RNA". It matches the Rfam family "Bacterial small subunit ribosomal RNA", at positions 524 to 776 of the family's 1533-position model. The record is from RNAcentral.
UACGUAGGGUGCAAGCGUUAAUCGGAAUUACUGGGCGUAAAGCGUGCGCAGGCGGUGAUGUAAGACAGGUGUGAAAUCCCCGGGCUUAACCUGGGAACUGCAUUUGUGACUGCAUCGCUGGAGUGCGGCAGAGGGGGAUGGAAUUCCGCGUGUAGCAGUGAAAUGCGUAGAUAUGCGGAGGAACACCGAUGGAGAAGGCAAUCCCCUGGGCCUGCACUGACGCUCAUGCACGAAAGCGUGGGGAGCAAACAGG